UAAACCCUCAAUUAGACCCAAAAACGUUACAGGUUUGGGGUAAUGAAGGAACAUCUAUAGCCCGAGUACUUUAACUUAACCCCAGGUUAUGGUUUAGUCGGAACUCUAAAGGGUUAAGACAACAAACUAACAUGUUCUUUGACGUUCGAACUUAGUUCGUCAACGUUUAAGGUUAAGAACAAACCUAACAUGAGUACAUGUAUCACCACUUGACCACGUAACGAUGAAGAGUCGUCAAACUUGUAAUCUCACUACAUGUAGGAACUAUACGGAUGACAUUUAGUGUUAUAUACGAGUGUAAAAUUACUGAUAUGUAACGAAAUCUUAAUUUUUUGCACUUUAUAAGCUUUCCAGUAAGUAUUAUAAGACUUUUUACAUCUUUUGUCCAUGUCAUGAUGAGGGAGGCAGGGUAUUAUAUUCUCGCAAAAACUGUAUACCCCGCCUCCCUCAUCAACAAUCCUCCAGCUCUCCCCAAUCCCAAAUCAUUAGGGUUUAGCAUUCAUCGUUCUACAUCCACGCAGACAAGCCAGCUCCUUUAACCCCACCCGCGCGGCGCGCUCUAUCUUCCUCGUACCUCCGCCCCACCGGUUAAAGGCGCUUUUGUCUCUGCCGCCCGAGCCGUAGCACCCUCCCUGCGCGUUCACUUUCCCUCAAACGGUUUGUCGCGAUAGGCCACCGAAGUUAAAGUCAACCGACUAAGGUGCGCGUCUAGUGCGCCGUCGCAACCAUCGCGGCCCGUGGCCUCACGUGUCCCUAAUCCCUAACCCCGGCAGCCACCUUACGCAUGGACCUCCCGGCCCUUCCAGCGGCCCCCAUGACUGAGAGGCUGGGGCUCAAGCGGGGACGCAGCGCGGCCGUCCUCUCUGCUUUCCCCUGCCGCCAUCCCAAUGAAAACCGCGGUGCGGCCGGAUCGGAGGGCGCAGAGGUGAAAAGUCGCAACGGGAACGGGAACGGGACGAGACACGCAGGUACCCGGAUUAAGUCGGGUGGACAGGUAUCUUUCGGGACUGCCGGGUUUCAGGUUCGGGUGCAACCGAGACUGUGGCGAUUUUUUUUGUGAACCGCGACUGCGGCGGCCAGCUGCAGCCAGGAGAGCUCCUACCGGCGAACAGCCGCCGAACCGAACCAAACUGCCUCGACCUUGAGAGCUACACUGGCAUGAGGCGCGAACCUAGCUCCUGCCGCGGACGUCGCUAAACUUAGGGCUCGGGUGGAAACGGGGCACGACGAAGUCUCGAGUUUGGGAUUGGUCGUUUGGGGCUGAGCCUACCUCUUUAGGCAACGCCCUAGUCGUCUGCUCCCCUUGCAGAGGUACCUGUUCCAUGGUGAAGGAGAAACCUAAAGAUCGCGGAAGAAACACGUAUGGGUUGGACAUACUCAUACUAAGCUAAGAAAGCUAGGGAAAAAAUCAAACCAUAUUUUAUUUAACAUGAGGGAGGCAGGGUAUUAUAUCACAGUUUUUUGCAGAAUGUAUGUAAUACCCUGCCUCCCUCAUCUACACGACAAGUCAUGUGGGAAAAAUUAAGUUUUGCGAUCUCACGAGUAAUACGGUACUAUAGACAAAGAAAAAAGAAGAUCUUUGUAGUACGCCACAACUUAUUCAUUUUUAUCCUUCUUGAACGGUCUUUUUUUUUUCCAAUGGUCUUACGGACCCUUUCCAGUGUGACUUUGAAUCAAGUACAAAAACAAUACGGGAAGCAAGUUACAAGUCAAUUCUAACUACCGUGUACAAUAGAAAUAAAAGUUCGUUACGAUACGCAAGUAGAACACUUUAAAUAAAUAAUACGUUUUCUCGAUUAUAGAUAACUUUGUUGAUGGGAGGAAGUCAGUACAAUAUCACGCGUAAUAGACUAUAGACAAGAAAAAGAAGACCUUUGUAGUACACCACAACUUAUUCAUUUUUAUCCUUCUUGAACAGUCUUCUUUUUCCAAUGGUCUUACGGACCCUUACCAGUGUGACUUAGAAUCAAGUAAAAAACAAUACGGGAAGCAAGUUACAAGUCAAUUCUAACUAACUACCGUGUACAAUAGAAAUAAAAGUUCGUGACGAUAACAAGUAGAACACUUUAAAUCAUACGCGUCGAUCAUUGUAGAUAAUUUUGUUGCCCGUUAAGAAGUCAGUUCGAGAACGUUCUUCGCCACAGAAACGCUAACCUAGUCGCCUGACGGGCUGCUUUAGGACCAGUCGUAGGAUCUGUUCAACCUAAGGUUCUGACGUCAACCGUGCUCGGAGGAGAGUGCCGCUACCUCCGCGAAUACCUCCGAGCACCUUAGGAAGGUAAAGUCACUCCACCAAAAUGGUCUGUUGAUAACGACCCAUGCGGAGCCUGGUUACGCCCUGAUGAAGUCGUGUGUAUCUCUAGUGGUAAAACAACUCAGGGAGGUCACCAAGUGUUCCGAAUUCUCUCUCUGUGGUAACUCUUCUGACAGGGAACACAAGAGUCCGUCACACCUCACAUCGCUACACCAGUUGUCGCGGUAUCGAAGACGUCGAGUCGUACCAUAGUCACUGUAACUAUACCGUUAAAAACCUUCCUACCUCAUGCUCAAGGGGACCACCAACAACAGACAAACGUCCUCGAGUCGCGACUGGUCGAAUACGGAUUCAGUAACGUUCGAAAGACAGGGGGAGCUGAAGCCUCCUAAGCCAAGGGAGUGUUUCGAACAGGAACAGGUCUACAUAUACUCGGACUUUCUCCACGUUCAAGAGGAGUCCACGACAUGUUUGAAUCACUCGAAUGUGGACUAACCGUACAAACUAUAGUCUUAGGACGCCGAAGGUUUCGAAUUUCUUAACGAUAACAAUUACUGAGGUAGCAACCCAUUUAAAUUCCAUCUGUGUGGUCUGGACGUUUCUAACCUCAUGACGCCUCUCUACGAGGGUUGUAGAUGUAAAGUUAGGUAAGGUACAGAACUCGUACAAAGGGACGUUAAAUGACUACUAUAAAUAGGUCUUAUACUGCGCCUGUUCAACCUCCUAUAGAGAUGAACAAAAGGGGUACAGUUCUCGGAAACGAACGCCAUGCUCUAGGGGUUCGAUCAGUUUGGUUCUUGAGGACGGUGGAAAAAUUUGGAGUUUCAGGAUUGAAACUUGUAGCGAUGUUUUGGAAGCCUACUAGAAGAAACCUACAAGUACAAGGAUUAACGACGUGGUAUAAACCGAUGUGACUCUUGAUGACAUGUGAUAAAUAGUAUAGAACUUAGAGUAUCACCCCACCAUACCCUACUACAGCUGAAGGUCGUGCAGUCAAACUUCUUACAUCUCUACAUAUUGAAGUACCCUUCUCUAUUACUCUAUCCGAACCGCUCCGAUGACAAUACAUCCCGAGGAUUAGACUCUAUAAACAGGAAGUUGGUUCGAGCAGACCUCCUUCCACUACUAGUGGUCGACCACGGGGGAUGGACCGGGUACCGACUUUGAAAAAGGGGUUCUCUGUCGGUCAAGCAAGAGAGAUUCAAUGACCUCUUACAAAGAAGGUCACGCGCACAUCAUAAGUAGACUAUUCCAUGAAAGGCAUGAGGAUAAACAUGUCGCGCACUGUACACUGUAACGUAUUAAUUACUGACGUUCUAAACUAUUUAUUAAAGAACCGGAGAGUCUUAGUACGUCUACACGAAGAGUGUUAAACAUUAAACUCACAUUUACCAACACGAAGCGCGAAGCGCACAAGUAGUGAGGCUAGUACUUACAUCCAUCUUCGUCUCAGACAGUAACUCCGUUCACUAGGUUCCCAAGCGUCAAACUUCGGCUUGAUGUAGAUUAACUUAAUUAAAUACCAUAUGCACAAAAAAAAACCGUAGACGAUAAGGAGUCCGUUGACUCUAGAAAAAAAAAAACAGUUAGUUAAGGGCGUACUCACACACGUACGAUGGACGAAAAACCACAAGGCGAGUUUUCCUUUAUUCCUCUUGAGAAACCACACACGCACUCGAUGGACGGUUGAACAUCGACAUCACGUGAGUACCAACAUCGGAUAUCACUAUAACAGCUGACAACAACGAAACCAACACACACUAUUCAGACGACUAGUGUACAAGGGUGAAACUCUAUAAAGCUAUUAUUAGAGUAAAACUUUAAAUGCAGUUGAAUUAAUCAGUCAAACCAUAAAUGGUUGAGAUCUUUUCUUCAAACUUUAAAUGGUUUUAGUGACCAUCUAUAACUUUGGCUUAACAUAAAUAAAGUAUAGUCUGAGCUG
This 4196-nucleotide ribosomal RNA is filed under the name Triticum aestivum (bread wheat). RNAcentral's name for it is "partial small subunit ribosomal RNA". The record is from RNAcentral. Lineage: Eukaryota; Viridiplantae; Streptophyta; Magnoliopsida; Poales; Poaceae.